GAUGAAGAACGUAGCGAAAUGGGAUAAGUAGUGUGAAUUGCAGAAUUCAGUGAAUCAUCGAAUCUUUGAACGCACAUUGCGCCCUUUGGUAUUCCUUAGGGCAUGCCUGUUCGAGCGUCAUUUAAACCUUCAAGCUCAGCUUGGUGUUGGGUGACUGUCCGCUUCACCGCGGACUCGCCUCAAAAUUAUUGGCGGCCGGUACAUUGGCUUCGAGCGCAGCAGAAACGCGAACUCGGGCCCGUCGUAUUGGCUCCCAGAAGCUAUCUUCACAAUUUUGACCUCGGAUCAGGUAGGGAUACCCGCUGAACUUAAGCAUAUCAAUAAGCGGAGGA
This 332-nucleotide unclassified non-coding RNA is filed under the name soil metagenome. RNAcentral's name for it is "partial contains 5.8S ribosomal RNA, internal transcribed spacer 2, and large subunit ribosomal RNA". The stretch from base 1 to 120 matches the Rfam family "5.8S ribosomal RNA", at positions 35 to 154 of the family's 154-position model. The record is from RNAcentral.